UCGUCAUCGUCGUCGUCAUCAUCAAUCUCAAGAGGUGAACUAGCACUGAAACCUUUCAACUUUGACUCAUCGGUGGCUUCGGCAACAGGAGGCAAUUCUUCAUCUUUGUCUUCGUCAUCAUCAUCUGAAUCAUCUUCCAACAUGAUAAUCUCAUCUGUCCGGAAGGGUUUUGGAACUGGAACUGCAGGAGCCUCUACAUUCGAGCUUUUUGCUGACUCGGCAGCAGGUAAUUCGGAAUUUUGAGUUUUUAAUGCAGUCACAGCGGGUUCUGCAACCGACUUCAACUGCUCACUCGUUCCCAAGAAAGAAUGAAAGGGUAGACUCACCGAAGAUCUGAUUUUAUCCAACUUGUUCUCUUCCUUAUCCUUCUUAUCAGUAUCUAAUUUUCUCUUUGGGGCUGAGUUUCCCAAUAGCGACCCGAGACCUCCUCGGUUGGUCUUCUUUUGCAACAAAAUGUUCACUCCAGUAACCUGCGCUACCGGAUAUUUAUCGCCAUUGGAGUGUUUGCUCAGCUCCGAUGUUGUUGGGCCCACUUGAGAGACCUGUCUACUCCCGUUUAGAAAAGGAUGCAGUGAAUGGUCUACCUUUACACAUUUUCCAGGUACAAAGGGCCGA
RNAcentral lists this unclassified non-coding RNA (615 nucleotides) under Hevea brasiliensis (rubber tree). Lineage: Eukaryota; Viridiplantae; Streptophyta; Magnoliopsida; Malpighiales; Euphorbiaceae. The record is from RNAcentral.